ACUCGGAAGGAUCAUUAUUGAAUUUUGAAUGGGGUUGUAGCUGGCCUUUCAAAGGGCAUGUGCACGCCUCGCUUCAAUCCACUUACCCCUGUGAACACUCUGUAGGUCGGCUCAAGGGACAAAUCCUUAACGGGGUUUGUUUUGGGCCUUCCUAUGUUUUAUUACAAACGUUUAAAGUCUAAAGAAUGUACUCGCGUCUAACGCAUUAUAUACAACUUUCAGCAACGGAUCUCUUGGCUCUCGCAUCGAUGAAGAACGCAGCGAAAUGCGAUAAGUAAUGUGAAUUGCAGAAUUCAGUGAAUCAUCGAAUCUUUGAACGCACCUUGCGCUCCUUGGUAUUCCGAGGAGCAUGCCUGUUUGAGUGUCAUGGAAUUAUCAACUUGUUUAUCUUUGUAUGAACGCAGUUGGAUUUGGAGGCCAUUGCCGGAUUGUAAUGACUCGGCUCCUCUUGAAUGCAUUAGCUCGAACCUUUGCGGAUCAGCUUUUGGUGUGAUAAUUGUCUACGCCGCUAACUGAGACGCAUGAAUGGGAUUGGCUUACAGUCGUCCUUGAACGGACAAUUUAUUAUGACUUCUGACCUCAAAUCAGGUAGGAUUACCCGCUGAACUUAAGCAUAUC
This 618-nucleotide ribosomal RNA is filed under the name Antrodia heteromorpha. Its description in RNAcentral is "eukaryotic LSU rRNA". The stretch from base 214 to 367 matches the Rfam family "5.8S ribosomal RNA". The record is from RNAcentral. Lineage: Eukaryota; Fungi; Basidiomycota; Agaricomycetes; Polyporales; Fomitopsidaceae.